Molecule: unclassified non-coding RNA, 236 nt
Filed under: Hevea brasiliensis (rubber tree)
Lineage: Eukaryota; Viridiplantae; Streptophyta; Magnoliopsida; Malpighiales; Euphorbiaceae
Source: RNAcentral
GGUUCUAAAUCAAUAACAAUCCCAACAUCAAUCCUAUGCAAAAUUGCGUAAAAGGGUUUCCCUGAAUUCUUGGAGUGAAUCCAAAGAGGGUUCAGUAACGUGAUUUCCCUUGCUCCAAAUGCUUUUUCUAGUAAAACCGCACUCGAGGGAGUGAAAAGAGUACGCACAUCAGUCCCAAUAGAAAGGAUUUCCGGUUUCUCAAGAGAAGGGACUGAUUGCGGCGUUAAACCGAGCAU